RNAcentral lists this ribosomal RNA (497 nucleotides) under uncultured bacterium. Its description in RNAcentral is "partial 16S ribosomal RNA". It matches the Rfam family "Bacterial small subunit ribosomal RNA", at positions 28 to 507 of the family's 1533-position model. The record is from RNAcentral.
GAUGAACGCUGGCGGCGUGCCUAAUACAUGCAAGUCGAGCGAACAGACGAGGAGCUUGCUCCUCUGACGUUAGCGGCGGACGGGUGAGUAACACGUGGAUAACCUACCUAUAAGACUGGGAUAACUUCGGGAAACCGGAGCUAAUACCGGAUAAUAUAUUGAACCGCAUGGUUCAAUAGUGAAAGACGGUUUUGCUGUCACUUAUAGAUGGAUCCGCGCCGCAUUAGCUAGUUGGUAAGGUAACGGCUUACCAAGGCAACGAUGCGUAGCCGACCUGAGAGGGUGAUCGGCCACACUGGAACUGAGACACGGUCCAGACUCCUACGGGAGGCAGCAGUAGGGGAUCUUCCGCAAUGGGCGAAAGCCUGAUGGAGCAACGCCGCGUGAGUGAUGAAGGUCUUCGGAUCGUAAAACUCUGUUAUUAGGGAAGAACAAAUGUGUAAGUAACUAUGCACGUCUUGACGGUACCUAAUCAGAAAGCCACGGCUAACUACGUG